This 470-nucleotide ribosomal RNA is filed under the name uncultured soil bacterium. RNAcentral's name for it is "bacterial SSU rRNA". It matches the Rfam family "Bacterial small subunit ribosomal RNA", at positions 26 to 484 of the family's 1533-position model. The record is from RNAcentral.
AGAGUGAACGCUGGCGGUAGGCCUAACACAUGCAAGUCGAACGGCAGCACAGUGGUAGCAAUACCAUGGGUGGCGAGUGGCGGACGGGUGAGGAAUACAUCGGAAUCUACCUUUUCGUGGGGGAUAACGUAGGGAAACUUACGCUAAUACCGCAUACGCCCUUCGGGGGAAAGCCGGGGAUCGCAAGACCUGGCGCGGAUAGAUGAGCCGAUGUCGGAUUAGCUAGUUGGUGAGGUAAUGGCUCACCAAGGCGACGAUCCGUAGCUGGUCUGAGAGGAUGAUCAGCCACACUGGAACUGAGACACGGGUCCAGACCUCCUACGGGAGCAGCAGUGGGAAUAUGGACAAUGGGCGCAAGCCUGAUCCAGCCAUACCGCGUGGGUGAAGAAGGCCUUGGUGUAAAGCCCGUUUGUAGGUAAACGAAAAGACCAAGUUCGGUUAACUACCCGGUUGUCUAGACGGUACCAAAG